RNAcentral lists this transfer RNA (73 nucleotides) under Ailuropoda melanoleuca (giant panda). It matches the Rfam family "tRNA". From Rfam's summary of the family: Transfer RNA (tRNA) molecules are approximately 80 nucleotides in length. Their secondary structure includes four short double-helical elements and three loops (D, anti-codon, and T loops). Lineage: Eukaryota; Metazoa; Chordata; Mammalia; Carnivora; Ursidae. The record is from Rfam by way of RNAcentral.
UCCUGACUGGCUCAGUUGGUAGAGCAUCUGACUCAUGAUCUCUGGGUUGUGAGUUCAAGCCUCAUGCUGGGGG